This 492-nucleotide ribosomal RNA is filed under the name uncultured bacterium. Its description in RNAcentral is "partial 16S ribosomal RNA". It matches the Rfam family "Bacterial small subunit ribosomal RNA", at positions 28 to 507 of the family's 1533-position model. The record is from RNAcentral.
GAUGAACGCUAGCUACAGGCUUAACACAUGCAAGUCGAGGGGAAACGACAUCGAAAGCUUGCUUUUGAUGGGCGUCGACCGGCGCACGGGUGAGUAACGCGUAUCCAACCUGCCCAUCACUUGGGAAUAACCUUGCGAAAGUAAGACUAAUACCCAAUGACAUCCCACGAAGACAUCUGAAUGGGAUUAAAGAUUUAUCGGUGAUGGAUGGGGAUGCGUCUGAUUAGCUUGUUGGCGGGGUAACGGCCCACCAAGGCAACGAUCAGUAGGGGUUCUGAGAGGAAGGUCCCCCACAUUGGAACUGAGACACGGUCCAAACUCCUACGGGGGGCAGCAGUGAGGAAUAUUGGUCAAUGGGCGAGAGCCUGAACCAGCCAAGUAGCGUGCAGGAUGACGGCCCUAUGGGUUGUAAACUGCUUUUAUAAGGGAAUAAAGUGGGUCUCGGGAGACUUUUUGCAUGUACCUUAUGAAUAAGGACCGGCUAAUUCCGUG